Molecule: long non-coding RNA, 221 nt
Filed under: Elaeis guineensis (African oil palm)
Lineage: Eukaryota; Viridiplantae; Streptophyta; Magnoliopsida; Arecales; Arecaceae
Description: long non-coding RNA (EGUI_LNC008843)
Source: RNAcentral
AGUCCAUCAUGCCAUCAAUAAAGUGGGCGCACCCAACUUGAUCAAAUCAAGUGGUGCCCUAUAAAAAUUCAAUCAAGAAAUUGAUUAGGAGUUUGAACCCCUAAUGCAUAUGAUCCAAAAUCUUAGGCACCCAACAAUUAUAUCCCAAUGAAUCUAAUUCAUUUAAAUUAUUAAUAAGUAAUUAACUCGAAUUAAUCUUAUCAAAUAAGUAAUUCAAGUGC